AGCGCGCGUGGAGGAGUAGUGGGCGGUGGAACGGCGCGUGUGCGCGUGCUCGGUGGGCGUGGUGGUGGAAUGAUGGUUGUUGGGAAGAAGCGCGAGGGGCAGCAGUGUUGGUGAAGCCGCCUCGCCGUCACCACCAUCAUCCUCCCCCUACCCCCCCGGCUACCACCACGCCCACUCGACCGCAUACUGCCGUCACUACCGCUGCUGCUGCUCUAUACCGCCGCAUCUUGUGUCACUCCCACUCAGUUUGUCUCCCGCGCUGUAAGGAGUAACAUCUAGUGUUGCGUGACGGUGGUGCAGGAGGGCAGGAACAACCCUGUUCGAGGUACUAGGGUCCUGCUGCUGCACCACGAAGGGCGUCGACGUCGGUCCUGGCCGCAACGAGGGGCGUAUUACCUCGACCAUUAUCAGGGGGCGACGCGACCCUCCACUACCCAUCAAGGAGAUUGGUCGUCAUUGUGUGCCCCAUUCCAGGCCUUCCCAGGUCAUCUAAUAUCAUCUUAGGUCAGGUUCUAUUGCCUCAGUGUUUGACCUAGUACACCGAGGUCACUUAUCAGGCAGUGAUAGGGGUGUUGGGACGCACUUUUCACGGUAAAACGUCGCCAGAAGGGACAUGUACAGUAAUUCUAAGUGAGGCGGUUCAGGAGAAACUACUGUACAGUACUUGUCUGAGUCUGUGGGGACGUCCGUCAAUAAAGUGGUGUACGACAUUUUCUCCGUGUGGAUACCAUAACGAGAUAAUUUGUCCGUGAAGACAGUGAUGUCCGUAAUUGUUCUGUAGAUGAAGACGUCCGUUUUUUUUUUCUCUCCACGAAGACAACACAGCAAGCGUACAGAGGGACUGAUUCAAACUCCAAUUCAGAGCACAGUGGUUUAAGUAAGAAAACAGAAAAUCAAUGAACACAACAAUAAACGAAUGAGUGAUAAUAUAACAUUGAUAAUCAUGGAAUAAUCAGCCAAUGAACGAGAGAAACAACGGCGGUUUAGUGUUGAUGUGAUCCAAGCUGACCAAGGUGGAGUAACAGGACAGUGUGUCGGUCUUAUGAUAUAAUUAGUGCGCAAAAGAAAACAGUAAAAGUGGUGAAACGAGACAGAAUCCUACAGGGAGAGUUUACUUAUCAUUAAUUAAGACAGAACUACAGUAUACUUACAGUGAACAACCAUCAAUAUAGAAAUACAAACGUUAACAGAUAUAUCCAACCCAGGUGCAAGUGUCACUUCAUCGGGACUCAACUAUAAGUGUCACUGUGUCAGAACCUAACCAUAAAUAUCACUGUGUCAGAACCUAACCAUAAAUAUCACUGUGUCAGAA
Long non-coding RNA from Homarus americanus (American lobster), 1312 nucleotides. RefSeq lists it as uncharacterized. NCBI's taxonomy places the organism in Eukaryota, Metazoa, Arthropoda, Malacostraca, Decapoda, Nephropidae. The record is from RefSeq and is a predicted model, not a curated record. The transcript has 2 exons.